RNAcentral lists this ribosomal RNA (495 nucleotides) under Papiliotrema plantarum. RNAcentral's name for it is "partial large subunit ribosomal RNA". It matches the Rfam family "Eukaryotic large subunit ribosomal RNA", at positions 123 to 631 of the family's 3401-position model. The record is from RNAcentral. Lineage: Eukaryota; Fungi; Basidiomycota; Tremellomycetes; Tremellales; Rhynchogastremaceae.
GGCGUGCUCAGUGCGUCCGAGUUGUAAUCUAUAGAGGCGUUUUCCGUGCCGGACCGUGUCCAAGUCCCUUGGAACAGGGUAUCAAAGAGGGUGAUAAUCCCGUACUUGACACGACUACCGGUGCUCUGUGAUACGUCUUCUACGAGUCGAGUUGUUUGGGAAUGCAGCUCAAAAUGGGUGGUGAGUUCCAUCUAAAGCUAAAUAUUGGCGAGAGACCGAUAGCGAACAAGUACCGUGAGGGAAAGAUGAAAAGCACUUUGGAAAGAGAGUUAAACAGUACGUGAAAUUGUUGAAAGGGAAACGAUUGAAGUCAGUCGUGACCAGAGAGGCUCAGCCGGUUCUGCCGGUGUAUUCCCCUCGGUCGGGUCAACAUCAGUUUUGUCCGGUGGAUAAGGGCAGUUGGAAGGUAGCACCUCCGGGUGUGUUAUAGCCUAGCUGUCGCAUACAUUGGAUGAGACUGAGGAAUGCAGCUCGCCUUUAUGGCCGGGGUUCGCC